Falco peregrinus (peregrine falcon) is the source of this 6619-nucleotide long non-coding RNA. RefSeq lists it as uncharacterized. The record is from RefSeq and is a predicted model, not a curated record. Lineage: Eukaryota; Metazoa; Chordata; Aves; Falconiformes; Falconidae. The transcript is spliced from 5 exons.
GUGCUCUUGGCUAAUCAUUUAAAUAAGUGAAGGGCACUUGAGUGUACAGAAUGCAUAUCCAGCAGGAAAGCUGAUGGAAGUUAUUUUUUCUGAAUCUCUCUUAAGAUGACUCAGAAGAUAAACAAGCACAGCGAGCCCGGGCAUGCAAAGGCAGGUAGCAAAGACCUUUACACUGACGGCAUUGACUUCUUCACUGGACCAAAAAGGGUCCAACCUGGAGGACUGCGAUGCUGCUCUGAGACCCUCUUCCACCUGCCCUCCCUGGUCCUACUAGGUUAUUACAACAUAUUACAACUCUAGGAAUCUUAUAAUACCACCAAGGCAAUUAAUGAGGUGGGCUAUGCUGCAGCUGUGCUGUACUUCAUUUUGUCUGGAGGACUACAAAGACCAGAAGAUAAGCAGAGGAUAGAGUGAGGAGAAAACAAAUGGCAAAACACCACAAAGACAAAAUGUAAUUAUAAGAGCUUGAUCCUGAAGUCACAGAAGUGUCUGCAGAAUCUUGACCUCUCGAUCUACUUCUAGUGCCAAAGCCUUACACCAUAGAACAAAAGCAGAGACCCUGAGACAGCCAGAUUGACUGGUGACAGCCCAAGGAACCACUGUUUUCCCCAGAAACAUAUGUAGCUGAGAGACAUCCAUCUACUAUAGAUACAGUACUGUUGCCUUCCAGAGUGGUGACAGAACAGGAUGAGACAUCUGCACUUGAGACAAGCCCCACAAGAAACAGGACCAUGGAAGGCACAAGCAGCAAAAAUGAGGGAGGUACACCAGGAACACCUUCAGCAUCUGCGCUGGGCACCCUCAUCCAGUGGCCAUCAGCUGAAAUGUGGUAAUUGAAAGGGGAAAAGGAGAUGCUUGGCCAAGAGUUUGACAGAGGAGGGACGAAGGACCUCUGAGGGCCAUGGAGAGGGGCAGUUCCAGUUCAUAGUGUAAGUUGUGAAGUCAGUCCUUCACACCAAGGUACAACAUUGAUCACGCUGUAUCUGAAGAUCACUGAGACCUAUUGAUGUCCUCAGAGACCAGUUCAUCCCUCCCUUAUCCCAGGCUUUUUCCCAAACUUCUGCUGUUCAAAGUUACAGGGUUAUUGAAACAUCCUGCUGCCACAAAGCUCAAGGGGAUGCUGUAGGGCCAAGGCAGGAAAGUCCCCGCAGCGGCUGGCAUAUGGGAGAGAAGAGAGUGUAGGGAGACCAGUGUGAGCAGUCUCUAAUCUAAAGUAUGCCUUACCACUCCAAGUUUCAGCAAUUUGUCUGUACUAAAGGUAAUGAAGUUGUGUUGGCAUGCUGUACUAAAGGGCUGAAUCCAGCACCCAUUCAGUAGGUGACAAUUUUAUUGUAAAAUUUUAUUGUAAAAUAAAUAAAAAAAAUUUGUAAAAAUAAAAAAUUACCAAUUCCCUUGCUAAAAAGCCAUGUGGGGAAAACAAGUAAUGUUUUUGUCUUUGAGGUAUACCUUCUGUUUCUUAUGUUCUUCUUUGAUGGAACUUCAAUGACAAAAUUAAAUAUUAGGAAAUGUUAUGUUAACCUUGUCCACAUAUCCUGUACAGUCUGGGUUGUGUAUAAUACCUUGCUUAAAUUUUUGGCAAAUCCACUCCUGGUUUACAAACACCUAGCUCCUAGCGGAAAUCUGCUGUAGCUUGGAGAAGGUAAUGAAAGAAACCACGACUGUAACUUCAGAUGCUGUAGGCAGAACCCGGUGCAAUGACUGCCUCAGGAUAUUGCAGAAGAACAAGCAACGACAACAGCAACUGUCAAUACUGUCAGCCUCAGGGACUCCAAAAUGAGUGUCUGCUGCUUAAACAGGAUAGUCAUUGGCUUAGGACAAGGAUUAGCUAAGUUCUCUGGAGAAGACAAGACUGGCUUCAGAUGUUUCCAACCAGCAUGACAAUUUCAGGCUUUGUGCUCAUCUCAACCUCAUUGCUUUCAGCAUCCCUGGGCCGCAGCAAUACUGUAGCCUUUCCCUGAAUCCAGCGUGUUGUUUGCAUAAGCCCCUGCUUAAACCUCAUGUUAGACCUAUGAGAAUAUACCUGGUGCACCUCUGGAUUCAUGAGCAUGACCACAGUUAUAGAGUUGAAUGCACAAAUGGUCCCUUUACUUGCAUACCAUGAAGGCACAGGCUAAAGCCAGGUAACACUGCGACGUACGGGCAUGAGGCUCUCAGAAAUUAUCUCAGUGCUCUUGGAUAUUCUGCGCUUUUAAGUUAUUUGGUAUUAGCUGUGACCAAAUACUUAAAAUAAAUACAAAAUGUGUCCAUUAAAUACCAAUUGACUGCAGAAGCAAUUGAAAGCGUCCACAGUACCCUUCUCUUCUGCCACGUGCUGUGUAAAAUGUUUCUGUGUCACGGUUCAGACCCCAGAGGGAUGUGAUGUAUAUGACAAGUAGCUCAUUGUGAACAACGGGUCAGGUAGAGUUGAGAGCUCUGAAUCCAUUACCUUUCAGGGUCACUGAGCUGCAGGUUGUAAGGAAAACACCUUGCACAUCAUACCGCUGGAAUAAUAAUAGGAAUGAAUAGAGGUGGAAAAGGUAUACACAAAACAAACAGAUACAGUAUGCAAGUAUUAAACCUCUUGCUGAACAGGAAAAACAGAACAAGAAUAUCAAAGCCAUACUCUGGAAGUUCUUUUACUACUAAAGGCAAAUGGGUCUUUGAAUCAUUGCUGGCAGAGGCAGCAGAGGAAAACCUGUAGAUAGGAGGAACAAAGAACCACAACCAAAAAUAGAAGAAUCCAUAUUUCCUUUGAUUUAUGUGCUUUAUGAAGCACAGAGGGCACUGCACUCUCUCCAGGACCAUCACUCACAUUUCCUAAUUCUCACCUCAUGCUACAGGCCAAGGAACAGUCAGUCAAGCCCGAGCAGGGGAAAACGGUAACCAGAACACAUCAGCUGUGAAAAUCUUUAGCCAUGAGUAGGCAGGUGCAUGGUUUGCAACCAAGGAGCAUUUUUGCCUUGAUAAGCAGUGUUAUUCUGUGCAGAGUCACCAACAGAGUGCAUUUAUUGGGUUGAGGCAGUGCUUAAUACAUGCCAUCAAUACCUUUUAGGCAGUGGACAGCGCUCUAGCAGCUGCUGUUCUGUAUUUUCCUGCCAGAAACAUAGUACCGAGAAGGUAGCUAGUCAUCUCCACUCCUGUGCUGUCAAUGAAGGUCUCAGAGUUUUUUAACUGAUUAGGUUUCAGUUCACCAUGCCUAAUUUUAGGCACCGAAAUAACAUGCCUAACAGUCCCCCCAUAUAUUCAGAGGCUCUGAGUCCAUUUCUGAGAUGCCUCAAAAUUUAAUGACCUCUGCCAGUAUCUAUCCCUCCCUGCUGCUUAUAGAAGGCUAGUGCAAAUAGGGUCCCAGUGUAAAAACUUCUAGAUCCCUUACAGUAAACUUCCUGUUCUGUUCUACUUCAGGAUAUCACUGUGUCAAAGGUUUCUGUGAUACCAUGCUCCUGUUCUUAUUUGCUUACUCUUAAAAGAGCAGCUCCUCUGUCUGGGGUCCUUCACCCUCAAGGAUAAUAGAAAAGUUGUAGUUGCACCUUGGAAUUAAAGAAGACAUCUUCUCCUACCAACUGCUUUCAGUAAGUGAUUAGGAAAAGUUUUCUUCCUAGUAUCAAAGGAUUAAUACAUGGGGCAUUGUAGAGGAAUGAAGGCAGUGGGUUGGUUAGCAUUCGUAACAUGCAGCUGUGGCCUUGCCUCAGAGGCAGUGGGUUGAUUGACAUGGACGAUGUGCAGCUGUAGCUCGUUCCUGCUAAGUGGUUAAAUAACUCUGAGGAGUGGGUGAGAGAAGGUGCUGGCUGGAGGAGGAGCAGCGUGGUCUGGUCUGGUCUGGAAGGAGAAACAGUGUGGCCAGUAGAAUCUGACUGAUGGUAAAAGCCUUGUUGCAGCCUGAUAUCCUUGCUUGUGUGGCAACAAUUGGUGCCCCGUGUGAGGCUGACUGAGUUGGGCUUUGACUACAACAACUGGUGCCCAAUGUAGCUGAGCCAAGCGGCAGAACCUGCGACCCAUAACAGACACUGUGAGAGGUGAGCCAAUGGGUGCAUUGCAAUAUUUGUUGUCUGUCUUAACUCAAAUUGCAGCUGGGCAUCAGGCACUGAACUGGCUUUAGCUGAAAAGACCACACAUGUGAAAUCCAUGGCUAAAAUCAAGGCAUUAUUAAUGCCAUGAACCUUUACAUCUCACAACACUUUCAUAGGUGAUCAAGUUAUUCUACAAACAGGCAAAACAUAACAAACACACUUGAGACCACACUCAGACACACUUGAGCCUUCUUUCCAUGAUUACAUACUCCGUUUUCUGACACUAAAUGCUCACCACUUCAGAGAGGUACUGCAGUGCUUUUCUGCUCUAUCCUUUUCUUAAGUUCUUACACCCUUCUCUUUCACUAGUCGCAGCACAUGUCAUCUUAACCUGUACUUUGUCACGCUCGCUGAUGCUUUUCUCUCCUGGGCAAAACAGGGGAUGCCAAUCUGCCCCCCUGUACUCUGCUGCCGGCUCUUCAGGUGGUGCCAGCCAUGGCUGAGCGUGGGCAGAGCGGCAGGGGGUGUGAGUGCCAGGGGUCAGCAAGACAGCCCACCUCUCCCCUGUGCUGCGGGACAUUGCCUUUGUGCAUCAGACACCCGAUGGCUGUCUCCCAGCAUCAGCCUCCAGCUGAAACACAGACACCCCGGCGGACACUCUGUGAGAGCGGAAUUAACUCCUGAUCUCUGCAAAAAAAAAAUGAUACCGCUAAAAGUAGAAGAGAUAUCAGACAAUCCUCAAAUUAAUGGUAAGGAGUCAAACUAGACCAUUUUUGGUUUUUUGUGGUUUGUUUUUUUUUUAUUGGCUGUGGUUUAUAUUUAGGGUUCUGUGUAUGUUGCCACUGACUGUCCACAAGUGAUUGUCACUGCUCAUCAAAAGAACCUUUGAUCAGUGAUGCCCGCUUGCUAUGAUUAUCGCCAUUCAGAAACAUACAGCUCCAUUUUGACACAAAAUACAGAUAAUGUAACAGCUUGGCCUUGCUAUUUUCCGGGGAACCCAAGAUGUUCUUCCACCAAGUUUGCUGUGACACAGUAAAAACAUCUCAAUUUAUUCUAAGUGGCCUCAUCUCACAGGCCAAAGGCAGUGUUCUUCCAUGGUUGGAGGCACACCAUCAGACGAUCUUUUGCAAGAUAUUAUGUAUAUCAAUGAUAUUAUGUAUAAUACAAAGAAAAAACUUAAAUGUGUGCUUUUUCUAGUAUGAUUUAUUUUCAUUUGGAAAGUACUGAAAUAUUCCCCUUGCAAUAUUCUGAGAGCACAUGCAGUGCAAUUAAUAUGGUAGCUAUGCCUCUGAACAGGGAAGAAAAUACUUGUUUUAUAGAAGUGUGAAUAUGUUUUGAGCAAGGUAAAAUUAUAUCUGUAUAUUUGGGGGGGAAUUCAAUACUAAUCCCAUCUGGACCUGAUGUUUUACUGAAAUGAGAUCAUCAAUUACUGUCUGUGUUUCCUCAUGAGGUAAUGUUUUAUUUAAAUUGUUCCUGAUUUCUUCUGACAGUUUAGGCAAAGGUAAUUUUCAUAAAAAGGACUUUUACUGCUUUCAGCUUUUUUCCUCAAUAUAUAAUUCCUAAUAGAAUUUUUGAGGCACUGGUGAUUCUCUAAUUUUAUCUCUCUCUGAUGUGUAUGCAUGCAUAACACAGCCCCUGAAACCUUUACUUUCUUGAGUUGUGAUUAAGUGUGAUAUUAGUCAUCUAGAUUACAGCAAAUUCAAGAAGUAGUCUUAGAUAUAUCUAUAUAUCUAUGUAUAUCUCUGCAUGAAUUCCUCCUUCACUUCUUUGCUAAGAAAAAAAAUUACUGUUUUGUUUCCCAACUCUAAAAAUAAAGGAUAGGUCUAUCAGUUACCAUCAUCGAUCUCCUUAAAGCGUGGCUUGCUUCUAAACUAAGUUGGACAUCCCCUAGCUGUCACUUUCUCUGCUACCUAACCUUGUAUAGCAUCCACAGAACUUGUGGUACCUCCCCAGAAGUGUGUUCAUACCAAAGCUUGAAGAGGCGAAGUCCAAGAGGAAAGGUCUUUGUGCUGGAAUUACUAUUAUUGUUAUCACAGACUUUGUUUCCAAGUGAGAACAGGUGAUUGAAAUGCAGUAAUUUCUAUGCUGAAAGCAAAAUAGGAGGUGUAGAACAAGUGGAGUUACAUAUUAUUUUCCUGUCAGCAACAAAAUAUCACUUCAACAAUAAAUUUUACUGCAGAGUGAGUAAAAGAAACCCACACGUGAAUGCAAGAAACUGCCUUCCAAUAGCCUGUGUUCCAGAAAAGGCCUGAAUUCAGAGCUUAUUAAAACGUGUACUUAUGUACUUGGUUACGCAGCAGGAAAACAUUAUCCUAAUAUACUGCAGCAUAACUGAAGAAACUUUCACUGAAAUGAUGGGAACUAAGGACAAAUGAGACAAUCGUAUGAAUAAAAAAAGAUGUAAGCCAGAAGGCAAUCUGGUGGUAUCAUCUGUAAACUUCCCUCUGGCUACAGAUGUAUGGGGGAGGUCUCUCUGGGUUUGCUGAAGCAUUACUGGGCUGUGAGGCCCCCACCUCACCCCAGGUGUCACUCAGUCGAUUCAAGGUUCAGACCAUACUGUGACAUCUGUUCUGGGAGAUGAGCAUGCUGCUCAGGUCAAAUGGUGAGUCCCCGCUAGCCCAUGGUGACUUCUG